GUCGAGCGGACAGAUGGGAGCUUGCUCCCUGAUGUUAGCGGCGGACGGGUGAGUAACACGUGGGUAACCUGCCUGUAAGACUGGGAUAACUCCGGGAAACCGGGGCUAAUACCGGAUGGUUGUUUGAACCGCAUGGUUCAAACAUAAAAGGUGGCUUCGGCUACCACUUACAGAUGGACCCGCGGCGCAUUAGCUAGUUGGUGAGGUAACGGCUCACCAAGGCAACGAUGCGUAGCCGACCUGAGAGGGUGAUCGGCCACACUGGGACUGAGACACGGCCCAGACUCCUACGGGAGGCAGCAGUAGGGAAUCUUCCGCAAUGGACGAAAGUCUGACGGAGCAACGCCGCGUGAGUGAUGAAGGUUUUCGGAUCGUAAAGCUCUGUUGUUAGGGAAGAACAAGUACCGUUCGAAUAGGGCGGUACCUUGACGGUACCUAACCAGAAAGCCACGGCUAACUACGUGCCAGCAGCCGCGGUAAUACGUAGGUGGCAAGCGUUGUCCGGAAUUAUUGGGCGUAAAGGGCUCGCAGGCGGUUUCUUAAGUCUGAUGUGAAAGCCCCCGGCUCAACCGGGGAGGGUCAUUGGAAACUGGGGAACUUGAGUGCAGAAGAGGAGAGUGGAAUUCCACGUGUAGCGGUGAAAUGCGUAGAGAUGUGGAGGAACACCAGUGGCGAAGGCGACUCUCUGGUCUGUAACUGACGCUGAGGAGCGAAAGCGUGGGGAGCGAACAGGAUUAGAUACCCUGGUAGUCCACGCCGUAAACGAUGAGUGCUAAGUGUUAGGGGGUUUCCGCCCCUUAGUGCUGCAGCUAACGCAUUAAGCACUCCGCCUGGGGAGUACGGUCGCAAGACUGAAACUCAAAGGAAUUGACGGGGGCCCGCACAAGCGGUGGGAGCAUGUGGGUUUAAUUCGAAGCAACGCGAAGAA
RNAcentral lists this ribosomal RNA (928 nucleotides) under Bacillus velezensis. RNAcentral's name for it is "bacterial SSU rRNA". It matches the Rfam family "Bacterial small subunit ribosomal RNA", at positions 61 to 968 of the family's 1533-position model. Lineage: Bacteria; Bacillati; Bacillota; Bacilli; Caryophanales; Bacillaceae. The record is from RNAcentral.